UAGGUAGAAGGAGAGGAGUCUCAGAUAAGAUUUUGGACUGGGACUUUAGACUUUUGAAUUCACACUGGAAUGAAUCAAGACUUUGGAUGGCCAUUGGGAAGGCACCAAGAAUACCUCACCUCCUGAGAAUGCAGCCCAGUAGGUGUCAGCACCAUUUUACCCAGACCCUAUUCAAGAUGGAGUUGCUCUAGUUUAAAUGCCUCUGACAAUGUGAGAAGGACAUGAGAUUUGGGAGGGCCAGAGUUGUGUAUCACUACUGCUUGCUAUUGGGCCAAUGAAAGAAAGCAAGAGAAGAUAGAAGAUAGAGAGGGCCCCUUCAGUGGGACUUCUACUUCAGGCCACACUGGAAUAGAUGACACCAGACAAUCUCUCAUCAUAUACAACUGGAAAAUGAAACAAUAUUUAGAAAACAUUCAUUUGCCAAAAUUAGACAAAGGACAGAACGAGAUUCUGAUCCUGGAGAGUAAGAAAACAAACAAGGUGAUCAAGUUUUUCUUGGAAGAACUCCAGUACCGUGGUGAAAGGAGAUGGAACCCAAGCAGAGAAUGGCAGCUUGUAUUCUGACAAGCCAAGGUGAUGAGAUCUUGUUGAAAAUCCAAGGCCUUGAACAGAGGCACCAGAAUGUCACACCUUCCUUGCGUGGAUAAACUAUCUCUAGAGUGAAGGCUACUCUAGACUCAUCCUGGCAAAGCUUACACCUAAGCCUCAGAUGCUCAAGUGGAUCUAAACGUAACUUAAUUGUUUGCCAAAAUAAAUGCCUUUUAAAGAAAACUAAAAUUUAGACACCAAACAAAAUGUUUAAAUUUCUAGACAUAUGAGGAAGCAGGAAACUGUGACCCUCAAUUAAAACAAAUAAACAGAAACAGGCAUGGAAAUGUCAGAUAUGAGACAUAAAUAAUGGGAUUAAGAGUUAAAAACUUUAAAACAGCUAUAAAAAUGCUAAGGACUUCAAAGAAACUUAAUGUGAGGCCAAAUUAAAGCAAUAAAAAUUACCAAAUGGGAAUUCUAUAGUUUAAAUAUACAACAUUGAGAAUUAAAAAUUCACUCAAUGGACUUAAGAGUGGAUUGACUACUACAGAAGAAAAGAACAAUGAACUUGAACACAUAUAUUAGAAACUAUCCAGUUGAAGCAGAGAAAGAGAGAAAAGGUAGGUGCAUGCACACACACACAAAAAAUGAACAGAAAUUAGUGACCUGUGAGACAAUGGUAGAUAGCCUAAUAUACAUGUUACUAUGUAACUAUCUUUAAAGAGGUGGUUAGAGACUGUAACAUAUUUGACAAAAUAAUAGCUGAAAAGUUUCCAAUUUUGAUGAAAACUAUAAAUCAACAGAUUCUGGAUACCCAGCAAAUAUGUAGCAUGACAAACAUAAAGAAAACCACCUCAAGGUAUGUCAGAAUCAAAUUGAUGUAAACCAGAGAUAUUGAGAAAAUUAUAACAAAACAGAGGGGAAAAAAGGCAACAUUACAUACAAAGCAAUGAAGAUAAGAAUGACUCCUUGAAAACAAUGCAGGCCAGAGGACAAUAGAAUGAGAAUUUUCGUGUGUAGGAAAAAGGUAAUCAUCGCCCUGAAAUUAUAUAUCCAGUAAAUGAAAAUGAAAAGUAAAAUGAAAGUAAAAUACAUAGAUUUUCACUUAAAAGAAGUUGAGAGAAUCAAUGGCCAGUAGAUCUGCACUGAGAGAAAUAGUAAAGAAAAUUCUUUAUGCUGAAGGAAGAUGAAAUCAGAUGGAAAUUUAAAUCAACAGGAAGAUAUG
Long non-coding RNA from Cercocebus atys (sooty mangabey), 1753 nucleotides. RefSeq lists it as uncharacterized. NCBI's taxonomy places the organism in Eukaryota, Metazoa, Chordata, Mammalia, Primates, Cercopithecidae. The record is from RefSeq and is a predicted model, not a curated record. The transcript is spliced from 3 exons.